Molecule: ribosomal RNA, 555 nt
Filed under: Triticum aestivum (bread wheat)
Lineage: Eukaryota; Viridiplantae; Streptophyta; Magnoliopsida; Poales; Poaceae
Description: partial small subunit ribosomal RNA
Source: RNAcentral
AUGGGGAAGAUAAACUGGAUCUGGCUAAUUCAGUCCGGAAGACCAGGGAGGCACUUGCACUUUUGGAUGUCCCUCGGCACCAGGUUUUUGUGUUACCAGGACAUGGUUGGCGCCCCUGAGGCCGACCUCGUGAAAAUCAACACUGAUGCUGCUGUUCGGCGCGAGGAAGGGAAAGGUGGAGGAGGCGGCGUGGCAAGAUCGCCAAGAUCCUUCCUUGGAGCUUGGAGCAAACCAUACCCAGGUGUGACGGAUCCUCUCAUCGCGGAGGCGAUGGCAGUGCGAGACGGUGUCAUCUUUGCCAGGCUGAGGGGCUUUACGAGCGUCGUCCUCGAGAUGGAUUGUUUGGAGGUGGUUAACCUCUGGAUCAAUCGCCAUGACUCGCGUGCAGUCAUGGCACCAAUCUUAGUAGAAAUUGGAGAGCUAGCUAGCACUUUAUCUCUUUUUGUAAUUGAACAUGUAUCCAGAUCAGCGAACGGUCCUACUCACCUUUGUGCUAAGCAUGCUUGCACAAUUGAAGUGACUGAGAGCUGGCUUGACAGUACCCUAGCUUCCUGA